RNAcentral lists this ribosomal RNA (429 nucleotides) under Bacteroidota bacterium. RNAcentral describes it as "Bacteroidetes bacterium partial 16S ribosomal RNA". It matches the Rfam family "Bacterial small subunit ribosomal RNA", at positions 355 to 776 of the family's 1533-position model. Lineage: Bacteria; Pseudomonadati; Bacteroidota. The record is from RNAcentral.
UAGGGAAUCUUCGGCAAUGGGGGGAACCCUGACCGAGCAACGCCGCGUGAGUGAAGAAGGUUUUCGGAUCGUAAAGCUCUGUUGUUAAGGAAGAACGAGUGUGAGAAUGGAAUGUUCAUACUGUGACGGUACUUAACCAGAAAGGGACGGCUAACUACGUGCCAGCAGCCGCGGUAAUACGUAGGUCCCGAGCGUUGUCCGGAUUUAUUGGGCGUAAAGCGAGCGCAGGCGGUUAGAUAAGUCUGAAGUUAAAGGCAGUGGCUCAACCAUUGUAGGCUUUGGAAACUGUUUAACUUGAGUGCAGAAGGGGAGAGUGGAAUUCCAUGUGUAGCGGUGAAAUGCGUAGAUAUAUGGAGGAACACCGGUGGCGAAAGCGGCUCUCUGGUCUGUAACUGACGCUGAGGCUCGAAAGCGUGGGGAGCGAACAGG